GACGAACGCUGGCGGCGUGCUUAACACAUGCAAGUCGAACGGAAAGGCCCUGCUUGCAGGGUGCUCGAGUGGCGAACGGGUGAGUAACACGUGGGUGAUCUGCCCCUUACUUUGGGAUAAGCCUGGGAAACUGGGUCUAAUACUGGAUAGGACCAUGCAGCAGGUGGUGUGGUGGAAAGAUUAGUUUCGGUAAGGGAUGAGCUCGCGGCCUAUCAGCUUGUUGGUGGGGUAAUGGCCUACCAAGGCGUCGACGGGUAGCCGGCCUGAGAGGGUGGACGGCCACAUUGGGACUGAGAUGCGGCCCAGACUCCUGCGGGAGGCAGCAGUGGGGAAUAGUGCACAAUGGGCGCAAGCCUUAUGCAGCGACGCCGCGUGGGGGAUGACGGCCUUCGGGUUGUAAACUCCUUUCAGCCAUGACGAAGCCCUUGUGGUGACGGUAGUGGUAGAAGAAGCACCGGCUAACUACGUG
This 469-nucleotide ribosomal RNA is filed under the name uncultured bacterium. Its description in RNAcentral is "partial 16S ribosomal RNA". It matches the Rfam family "Bacterial small subunit ribosomal RNA", at positions 28 to 507 of the family's 1533-position model. The record is from RNAcentral.